RNAcentral lists this ribosomal RNA (448 nucleotides) under uncultured bacterium. RNAcentral's name for it is "bacterial SSU rRNA". It matches the Rfam family "Bacterial small subunit ribosomal RNA", at positions 32 to 507 of the family's 1533-position model. The record is from RNAcentral.
AAUCAACGCUGGCGGCGUGCCUAACACAUGCAAGUCGAACGAGAAGGGGACUUCGGUCCCUGAGUACAGUGGCGCACGGGUGAGUAACACGUGACUUAUCUACCCUCGAGUGGGGAAUAACUUCGGGAAACCGAGGCUAAUACCGCAUAAUACCCACGGGUCAAAGGAGCAAUUCGCUUGAGGAGGAGGUCGCGGCCGAUUAGUUAGUUGCGGGGUAAUGGCCCCACCAAGACGGUGAUCGGUAUCCGGCCUGAGAGGGCGCACGGACACACUGGAACUGAGACACGGUCCAGACUCCUACGGGAGGCAGCAGUGGGGAAUUUUGCGCAAUGGGGGAAACCCUGACGCAGCAACGCCGCGUGGAGGAUGAAGUCUCUUGGGACGUAAACUCCUUUCGAUCGGGACGAUUAUGACGGUACCGGAAGAAGAAGCCCCGGCUAACUUCGUG